This 464-nucleotide ribosomal RNA is filed under the name uncultured bacterium. RNAcentral describes it as "partial 16S ribosomal RNA". It matches the Rfam family "Bacterial small subunit ribosomal RNA", at positions 339 to 795 of the family's 1533-position model. The record is from RNAcentral.
CUACGGGAGGCACCAGUGGGGAAUAUUGCACAAUGGGCGCAAGUCUGAUGCAGCCAUGCCGCGUGUAUGAAGAAGGCCUUCGGGUUGUAAAGUACUUUCAGCGGGGAGGAAGGGAGUAAAGUUAAUACCUUUGCUCAUUGACGUUACCCGCAGAAGAAGCACCGGCUAACUCCGUGCUAGCAGCCGCGGUAAUACGGAGGGUGCAAGCGUUAAUCGGAAUUACUGGGCGUAAAGCGCACGCAGGCGGUUUGUUAAGUCAGAUGUGAAAUCCCCGGGCUCAACCUGGGAACUGCAUCUGAUACUGGCAAGCUUGAGUCUCGUAGAGGGGGGUAGAAUUCCAGGUGUAGCGGUGAAAUGCGUAGAGAUCUGGAGGAAUACCGGUGGCGAAGGCGGCCCCCUGGACGAAGACUGACGCUGAGGCACGAAAGCGUGGGUAGCGAACAGGAUUAGAUACCCGAGUAGUC